UUGAUCCCAUUCCAUGCCUCAAGCUCCACUAUCCACAGGAGGAAGACUAUCCGAGAUGAUCUGUGCCAAUUGACUUCCAGACUAGAGUGUGAUCCAUUAGUGCACUCCUUCCUCAUCGUCAACUUAUUGGGGGAUGACAUGAGAAAGAGACGCCGCACUUCAAAAGCAGUCCACCAUGCUAAAACAUGAGAGCACCUACCCAUCAAAGCUACAAAAAGC
Molecule: long non-coding RNA, 219 nt
Filed under: Elaeis guineensis (African oil palm)
Lineage: Eukaryota; Viridiplantae; Streptophyta; Magnoliopsida; Arecales; Arecaceae
Description: long non-coding RNA (EGUI_LNC029001)
Source: RNAcentral